Molecule: ribosomal RNA, 496 nt
Filed under: uncultured bacterium
Lineage: Bacteria
Description: partial 16S ribosomal RNA
Rfam family: Bacterial small subunit ribosomal RNA
Source: RNAcentral
GAUGAACGCUGGCGGCGUGCCUAAUACAUGCAAGUCGAGCGAACGGACGAGAAGCUUGCUUCUCUGAUGUUAGCGGCGGACGGGUGAGUAACACGUGGAUAACCUACCUAUAAGACUGGGAUAACUUCGGGAAACCGGAGCUAAUACCGGAUGAUAUUUUGAACCGCAUGGUUCAAAAGUGAAAGACGGUCUUGCUGUCACUUAUAGAUGGAUCCGCGCUGCAUUAGCUAGUUGGUAAGGUAACGGCUUACCAAGGCAACGAUGCAUAGCCGACCUGAGAGGGUGAUCGGCCACACUGGAACUGAGACCCGGUCCAGACUCCUACGGGAGGCAGCAGUAGGGAAUCUUCCGCAAUGGGCGAAAGCCUGACGGAGCCACGCCGCGGGAGUGAUGAAGGUCUUCGGAUCGUAAAACUCUGUUAUUAGGGAAGAACAUAUGUGUAAGUAACUGUGCACAUCUUGACGGUACCUAAUCAGAAAGCCACGGCUAACUACGU